Molecule: long non-coding RNA, 1332 nt
Organism: Tyto alba (common barn owl)
Lineage: Eukaryota; Metazoa; Chordata; Aves; Strigiformes; Tytonidae
Exons: 3
Source: RefSeq, a predicted model, not a curated record
AGGUCAAACUAAAGGCGAGGAGGAGACGCGGCCGCCGCCGGGCCGGGGCCGGGGCCGGGCGGCUCCGCCGGACCCACCGGCCGAGCGAGGGCGGCGGCGGCGGCGGCGGCCGCCGGCGGGGGGCGGCGAGCGGGCUGGGCGAGGCGGCCCCUGCGGGCCCCGCGGCGGAGCGCGGCCGCAGCCGCCCGCCGGCCCUCACAGGAUUAGUCUGCAACUAAUACAGUUGUCCAAGUAAUUUGCAUCAUGAAAUUAUAAAAUUCUUGCAACAGUGGAGGAAGCAGGAAUCCCUCAGCUGGAAGACAGAGAGAACAGGACUACUCUUCUGCCACAGUGCUCUCGCCAUGUCCAAUGUAAACCAUCUUUAAAGUGUGCCAAUAGGCAGGCUCUGUGGUAUUGGAGGAUCUUCUGAAUCUUAUACUUACAGAUGCCUUUAAAAAGAAAGAGCUCAUUUUCUACAGACAGCUUUGUCAUCUUGGACCAGAUAUACUGGUUACCUUGAAAGAAGAAAAGGCAGAUUAUGGGCCCAAAUUAGGAAUUGGAACACUCUUCAGGAUAACAUGGAGGCAUGUCAUGUAGAGGUAGCUGUAAAAUAUUUACAGUGAUUUUGUUUUAGUAGCUUGUAAUUAAGUAUCUCCAAGAAUAUACUCCAGAUUAAAUAAUCUAUUUUCAGUGUAACUCUUUGCCAGAAAUGAGGCAAAAAUUCCUUUCCUGUAAGAGGCACCAAAAGAGAAAUGUAUAUAGCUGAAAUUAAAGUUAGAACUAUACUGUAGUCAGCAAUAUUUAGUUAUAUGUAAACCGAGUAAGUUUGUAUAAUCAAAAUUUCUUGAUAAAUCUGAAGGAGGAAUACUUUUAUAGGAACACAAGGGAUUGGGUUUUAUGAAAAAUUUGGUUUUAUACAUUGAGUAUUCACAUUCCUCUGAAGUUUGUAGUUCUAGUUGUUCAGGUUUCUCUUAUGGUCAAUGCUUUGAUGUAUCUAUCCUGCUAGAAAAGUUUAAAUUCUAAAGCAAAAAUAGCAGUGUGUGUUGCUAUAUAUCAUAUAGCAAUAUAAACUGCUAAAUGUCUGUACUAUGAGGAAAAGAAAUACAAGGGCGAUAAUACCGGUUCUUCCUUUUUCUGUUCUUGAUUGCAGGUUAACCUAUUGGUUGGGAUUUUUAUAAGAGUAAUUAAUUAUGAUAAGUUUUUAGUGUGGAAUAUGGAUUUUUUUUUUUGCAUGUUUAAAGCAAAAUGAUCUUGGAUUAGCCACUUCCUGCACACUGUGGUGUCUGUGGAGAUGACAGAUUACUGCAGAAUUUACCAAAUUACCUGAAAUAAAGAUUUAAUUUGUCUGAAUAA